This 1208-nucleotide ribosomal RNA is filed under the name metagenome. RNAcentral describes it as "bacterial SSU rRNA". It matches the Rfam family "Bacterial small subunit ribosomal RNA", at positions 8 to 1191 of the family's 1533-position model. The record is from RNAcentral.
AGAGUUUGAUUCUGGCUCAGAACGAACGGUGGUGGCGUGGAUAAGACAUGCAAGUCGAGCGGGAUUUUACUGGUAGCAAUAUUAGUGAAGUUCAGCGGCGCAAGGGUGCGUAACACGUGGGCAAUCUGCCUAGGGGAGCGGGAUAGCUCGGCGAAAGUCGAAUUAAUACCGCAUAAGACUACUGAGAGCAUUCUCGGGAUGUCAAAGGUGGCGCAAGCUGCCGCUCCUGGAUGAGCCCGCGGCCUAUCAGCUAGUUGGCGGGGUAACAGCCCACCAAGGCGAUGACGGGUAGCUGGUCUGAGAGGACGACCAGCCACACUGGAACUGAGACACGGUCCAGACACCUACGGGUGGCAGCAGUCGAGAAUUUUUCUCAAUGGGGGCAACCCUGAAGGAGCGACGCCGCGUGGAGGAUGAAGGUCUUCGGAUUGUAAACUCCUGUCAUUUGGGAACAAAUACCUGAUUUAACUGAUUAGGAACUGAUAGUACCAGAAGAGGAAGAGACGGCUAACUCUGUGCCAGCAGCCGCGGUAAUACAGAGGUCUCAACCGUUGUUCGGAUUCAUUGGGCGUAAAGGGUGCGUAGGCGGUCGCGCAAGUCGGAUGUGAAAUCUUAGGGCUCAACCCUGAAACUGCAUUCGAUACUGCGUGGCUCGAGUACUGGAGAGGAGACUGGAAUUUACGGUGUAGCAGUGAAAUGCGUAGAUAUCGUAAGGAAGACCAGUGGCGAAGGCGAGUCUCUGGACAGUUACUGACGCUGAGGCACGAAGGCCAGGGGAGCAAACGGGAUUAGAUACCCCGGUAGUCCUGGCAGUAAACGGUGUACGUUUGGUGUAGGCGGAUUCGACCCCGCCUGUGCCGGAGCUAACGCGUUAAACGUACCGCCUGGGAAGUACGGUCGCAAGAUUAAAACUCAAAGAAAUUGACGGGGGCCCGCACAAGCGGUGGAGUAUGUGGCUUAAUUCGAUGCUACGCGAAGAACCUUACCAGGGUUUGACAUGUAUCUCUAAGUCGGUGAAAGCCGGCGAGUCGUAGCAAUACGACGAUUUACACAGGUGCUGCAUGGCUGUCGUCAGCUCGUGUCGUGAGAUGUUGGGUUAAGUCCCGCAACGAGCGCAACCCUUACGUCCUGUUGCCACUCCUUUAUUGGAAGCACUCUGGACGGACUGCCCUGUGAAACGGGGAGGAAGGUGAGGAUGACGUCAAGUC